ACGCUCGACACCUACUGGAGGCAGCAGUGGGGAAUAUUGCACAAUGGGGGAAACCCUGAUGCAGCGACGCCGCGUGAAGGAAGAAGUAUCUCGGUAUGUAAACUUCUAUCAGCAGGGAAGAAAGUGACGGUACCUGACUAAGAAGCCCCGGCUAACUACGUCCCAGCAGCCGCGGUAAUCUGAGCGGGCUGGCAAGGC
This 198-nucleotide ribosomal RNA is filed under the name uncultured bacterium. RNAcentral describes it as "partial 16S ribosomal RNA". It matches the Rfam family "Bacterial small subunit ribosomal RNA", at positions 328 to 539 of the family's 1533-position model. The record is from RNAcentral.